AGGAUGAACGCUGGCGGCGUGCCUAACACAUGCAAGUCGAACGUCCUGUCUCGCAAGAGGCAGGGAGUGGCGGACGGGUGAGUACCACGUGGGUCAUCUACCGUGAGGUGAGGAAUACCGGCGAGAAAUCGCCGACAAGACCGCAUAGGCUCGAUGCAAGUCGAGCAAAGCUCUUUCGAGAGAGGGAGCGCCACACGAGGAGCCUGCGCCCGAUUAGCUAGCUGGUGGAGUAACGGUUCACCAGGGCGACGAUCGGUAGCUGGUCUGAGAGGACGAUCAGCCACACUGGGAUUGAGAACGGCCCAGACUCCUACGGGGGGCAGCAGUGAGGAAUUUUCGUCAAUGGGGGCAACCCUGAACGAGCAACGCCGCGUGCAGGAAGAAGGUUUCGGAUCGUAAACUGCUUUUCUCGGGGAAGAGAACGGACGGUACCCGAGGAAUCAGCCCGGCUAACUACGUGCCAGCAGCCGC
Molecule: ribosomal RNA, 471 nt
Filed under: uncultured bacterium
Lineage: Bacteria
Description: SSU rRNA
Rfam family: Bacterial small subunit ribosomal RNA
Source: RNAcentral